This is a long non-coding RNA of Notothenia coriiceps (black rockcod), 243 nucleotides long. RefSeq lists it as uncharacterized. The record is from RefSeq and is a predicted model, not a curated record. The transcript is spliced from 2 exons. NCBI's taxonomy places the organism in Eukaryota, Metazoa, Chordata, Actinopteri, Perciformes, Nototheniidae.
AAGGACACGUACAAAAUCAAUUCUGAAACUAGAGACACAAGUCUUGUAGGACGGCAGUAAGCAGAGGUCUGGGUGGAGGAUGUUCCUGAUCGCUGUUUUGCUUUCUUCAGCACCACGGGGUGUCCAGGUGGAUGGCAGCUCUGUCCUGAUGAUCUGCUGUGCACUUUUCAGAUUAGGGGUCCUUCUCCAGCAGAUCCAUUCCUCCAGAAUUGUCCUAAUUACAGAGAAAAACAAGAGAAAAAG